CUUCACUGCACUGACAUGGGGGCUGCCGCCUGUGGCUGUCUCCCUUCCUAGGCAUGGAAGAGCAGCUCCUUGCUGAUUGGCAUAACUUUUACCGUCUUGUGGGUAUUAGUCGUUGACUGUAGCAAGUAACAGGC
RNAcentral lists this small nucleolar RNA (134 nucleotides) under Athene cunicularia (burrowing owl). RNAcentral's name for it is "Small nucleolar RNA SNORA24 (ENSACUG00000007978.1)". It matches the Rfam family "Small nucleolar RNA SNORA24". From Rfam's summary of the family: ACA24 is a member of the H/ACA class of snoRNA that guide the sites of modification of uridines to pseudouridines. Lineage: Eukaryota; Metazoa; Chordata; Aves; Strigiformes; Strigidae. The record is from Rfam by way of RNAcentral.